This 62-nucleotide transfer RNA is filed under the name Xylophagaidae sp. E23. Its description in RNAcentral is "tRNA-Ala". Lineage: Eukaryota; Metazoa; Mollusca; Bivalvia; Myida; Xylophagaidae. RNAcentral also lists the same sequence under 1 other name. The record is from RNAcentral.
UGGGGUACUUUAAAAAAAAGAGUAAGUUUGCGUCUUAAAAUUGGCUUAGGCCCUCCGCUUGU